RNAcentral lists this long non-coding RNA (318 nucleotides) under Elaeis guineensis (African oil palm). RNAcentral's name for it is "long non-coding RNA (EGUI_LNC052567)". The record is from RNAcentral. Lineage: Eukaryota; Viridiplantae; Streptophyta; Magnoliopsida; Arecales; Arecaceae.
CUCAAUGGUGCCUCUACUGGCUUAGAAUUUGAUUCUCCAAUCAAAUUUAAUUAUGUGUGUGUCAGUUCUUCUACCUCAUAAACUUCAUCAAGUUCAAUUUUAUAGAUAUUAGUUUCUUCUUCAAGGAACUCUUUUUCCAAAAGGACUGCCCUAUUGCUGACUAACACAUUUUGUUCUUUAGCGAGGUAGAAGUAAUACUCUUUAGUUUUCUUUGGAUACCCUACGAACAAGCAUUUAUCAAAUUUUGCUCCAAGCUUAUCUGUCUUUAAAUGCUUGACAUAAGCCGGACACCUCCACAUCCUAAGGUGUGAAAGCACC